GACACCUCGUUGUCAGUCCAAUUGACGUUAGUGUACAAACUUUCAAUUGUUAUGCCAACUAAUAUAACGUCAUUGUGUAUUGUAUUUUUUUCAAUAGAUUAUAUGAAGAAAUGCAAUAAUAUUUAAUGAAAAUUAUGUUUGCAUGCGAAAAUAAAAUUAAGACUAACAAGGAUGAUCGAUUUCGUCAUACCUAUGAAAAGAAACUAACA
This 209-nucleotide long non-coding RNA is filed under the name Lathyrus oleraceus (garden pea). Its description in RNAcentral is "Pisum sativum (pea) long non-coding RNA (PSAT_LNC021503)". The record is from RNAcentral. Lineage: Eukaryota; Viridiplantae; Streptophyta; Magnoliopsida; Fabales; Fabaceae.